This is a long non-coding RNA of Toxotes jaculatrix (banded archerfish), 2418 nucleotides long. RefSeq lists it as uncharacterized. The transcript has 4 exons. The record is from RefSeq and is a predicted model, not a curated record. Lineage: Eukaryota; Metazoa; Chordata; Actinopteri; Toxotidae.
CUCAGUAAUGGCCGCAAACACGUUGAAAGCGGGAAGAAAGCUUUUGGCUCUGUCAUGUUAAGGAGAAAAGUAUUUUUCCAACACAAACUUGGCGACGAGGAUGGGAUUGGAUGUGUCAUCUGGACUCUGUUGGAAAGACAGAAAGCCGGCUGCAAAGAAAGAUUCCUCCCUGUGGGUGAGAAGCUGUCCUCAGACGGAGCCCAGUCAUCGCUCCAGUCCCGGAGGAUUUAAAAGGAAAGUAUCACACACGGUGAGUGUUUUAAUGUUGCCUGUGUUUUGAUGUUGCCUGUGAGAGUUUGCAGAGUUAAUCAGAUUGGAAACCGGUAUAUCUCGCAUAAGCACUUGCAGACAGACGUGUCUUGGUUAUUAUUGUAGUAUUUGAGGAUUUCUGGUGUAUCUGCUUGAGAAAGUGGACCAGUUUAUUCUGUAAAUACAAGAGACAAAAUAAUCAGAGGUAAAGGCUGGGUAAAAGUCAGAGUAAGGAGAUGUCCAGAGUGGAGCCAACUCCCAAAAUCCUCCCACCAAUAAUAAAACUAAUGAUGGAGAAAAAUCCUGGAAGCACGAAUCAAUUCAAAUAAUGGGUUGAUUUGGGGUUUCCAGAAAAUGGCAGCUUUAGCCUGAGACAAUUGGACCAACUGAAGACAUGUUUGGAGGCAAAAGAAAAAAAAGUGCAGAGCAGCAUGCAGCUCAGUCCAAAUGUAAACGAGAGAAGCAUGAACAGUUUAAAGCAGACUGGAAGGCAUAUAGCAUGUGGAGAGAGGAGAGGGAAAGAAGGAAUAGAUUAAGAGCACAGACACAAAAAGAGGGAAAAAAACAAUCUGGACACACUAACAUGUUGUAUACUUCUUUGGAGAUUGAAAAGAACAAAAGAGCAAUGAAAGUGUGGCUAGAGGAAGCAGAAUGUAGGGAAAAGAAACAAACACAAAAGUACAUGCCAUAUUCCUCACAGAGGAAAAAACAAAAACUAAUACACUUUGUCCUUCUGUUCCCUUUGUGAGUCAAUAUGUCAAGGUGGAUCGCAACCUCAACGCCUGCCCUCCGACCGCACCUCCACUGCCACAUGAGCCUGGUGGGGGUCUGGGAACAGCAGAAGGAUCCUCCAGACGUCUAGCAGAAACAUCAUCACCUCCACCAACAUCAUCCUCACCCCCUGAUUCAACCACGUCUAAACCUGAUGCUUUACAGACCAGGACUGUGUCACAGCUGAGAGAAGAACUCCCACAGCUGGGUGAGAACACAUAUGGGGACAAAGCUCCAUUAAAUGAUCUCAGACGACACGCUGUACAUGCUGAGGCCGCUAUCAAGGCUCAACAGAGGAGAAAGAAAGACAAAGUUGACAAGGAUCUACACACGGCAGCCUUAACCAUGUACAGGGGUGCUCAGCCUGUGGCUGGCGGACGAGGACGUGGCCGCGGACGUGAAUACGGUGGAGGUGGACACUGGCAAUAUGACCCCAACAUCUGUUUUGACUGUCAUCAGCGAGGACACUGGGCUAAAGACUGCCCACAGAAGAAUGGCUCUGUGCAGACUACAACUGCUGCAAAGUGAGGGCAGGACGGGGCAUGAGGAGAGGAGCAAUCUGACCGCAGCAACACUGACUCACAGACUACAGGAGGUAAUACACACACACACACACACACACUGUUUGCAAUGAAGACCAGCUUUGCUCACACACUACAGGACAUGUCACCUGAUUAACUGCACAGAGGAGAAAUUUGAAUAUGACAUGUAUUUAUUGGACAAAGAAGGCUGCUGCUGUCUCUGUAUCUCUCAUUCACAAGAUGAACUGUUUGAUGGUGCGUCCCCACACGUGUCGCUGACGAAACCUGCCCACUGGACAUGGCAGGAUAUGGGACCAUGGCUCCGCAGACAACAGACCCUCUCUGAUUUCAGCAGAUGGAGAAGCACAUGACUGUCUUCAGAUUCUGAAGUUUGCACACCCAGACCAGAUCUUUCUACUCAGGUCAUACCAAAUGCAGACAUGGAGCUGUUUGUGGAUGGUUCGGCGUCCUGCAACGUGGACACAGGUGCUGCUCGAGAAAUUCUGCAGCAGAUGCAGCCACUAAAGCAGCUGCAUUGGUUCACCUUUCACAGUUAACUGUUUGCUGUUGUCUGUCACUCCUGACACCUGCUCAUCUGCUGAUGUUUCUGUUCUGCAGUCUCUUUCCUCAAGAACGCACCAUUUGGUCAAAAUCAGGUGCCACAUUUAAAGACUCAGUGUGAACUGGUCCAGAUAACAAACCUUGUUUGCCUCGUCCUCUCUUCCACUGUUAUGCAAAACUGUCCCAUGGGAGAGACCAUGUGGGCAAAGGGGGAAUGUGUGCUGCUGUUAAUUCAUCAUGGUACACACGUGGUUUUUCAUUUUCUGCACAGGACUUUUGCAGGAAAAUACAUCAUUUGUGCAGCCAACAACGCAUC